UACGGGGGGAGCAAGCGUUGUUCGGAUUUACUGGGCGUAAAGCGCGUGUAGGUGGUGGGACAAGUCUGCUGUGAAAGCGCCUGGCUUAACCGGGCGAGGUCGGCGGAAACUGUCCGACUCGAGGACGGUAGAGGGGGGUGGAAUUCCCGGUGUAGUGGUGAAAUGCGUAGAGAUCGGGAGGAACACCUGUGGCGAAGGCGGCCCCCUGGGCCGGCCCUGACACUGAGACGCGAAGGCGUGGGGAGCGAACGGG
RNAcentral lists this ribosomal RNA (253 nucleotides) under uncultured bacterium. RNAcentral describes it as "partial 16S ribosomal RNA". It matches the Rfam family "Bacterial small subunit ribosomal RNA", at positions 524 to 776 of the family's 1533-position model. The record is from RNAcentral.